GUCCAGACUCUCUUCAUCAUGGUUAUUCUUAGCGGGUGCUCUCUCAGAAUCGUCCAUAAUGGAUGUUGUUGUACAAAGGUUUUAAAACAAAUAAUUAUACCACUACGAAAUAUUAUCGAACUAAUUUUAAUUGGCAAAAUAAUUUAAGAAACUGAAUUUGAAAAGAUUACAAAGAAACAAUCUGAUUUGGAGCUGAUGGGUUUGCGAGUACAUGUCACACGUCCGCUGUCAAUCCAAAAAGUGACCAGCGACCGAACUGACACCUGACUGACAACUCCAUCCGGUGUUU
This 289-nucleotide unclassified non-coding RNA is filed under the name Melitaea cinxia (Glanville fritillary). RNAcentral describes it as "misc RNA ENSMCXG00005022193.1". The record is from RNAcentral. Lineage: Eukaryota; Metazoa; Arthropoda; Insecta; Lepidoptera; Nymphalidae.